GCAGCCAUCCAAACAUUAGGUCCAGGACUUAGACUCUCUUGCUAUGAGGUUGGUACAAGUUUCUUUCAGAUCUGGAGUUGAUCUGAGGUCGUUUGAGGCACGGGUGAGAUCUCCAUCAACAGAUCUAUAGGAAAGACUGCAGCAGGACAGAUCUGCAAGGUCUGGUUCUAUCUACCUUCUUCCCUAUCUAGAAUAUCCUGAUUCAAGAUCUAUAAAUUAAAAGACCUCAGUCCAGGCCUGAUCUAGUUGGGUACCAGAUUUUGAAUUUUUUAGAGGUGAUCUUAGAGGCAUUCUUCAUCUGGA
This 303-nucleotide long non-coding RNA is filed under the name Elaeis guineensis (African oil palm). Its description in RNAcentral is "long non-coding RNA (EGUI_LNC061410)". The record is from RNAcentral. Lineage: Eukaryota; Viridiplantae; Streptophyta; Magnoliopsida; Arecales; Arecaceae.